UACUAAUGUUUGAUAUAAAUGUCAACCUCACAAUACCAGCCUUAAUAAUUGGUACCUGCUACACCUGUAUUGUUAUUACAAUAUGGAAACGAGGAAGAAGUACAUAUCUUGAAGAGGGCACAGCAACUUCUCGACGCGUAACAAAUAUCAAGAAUGAUCGUUCAAAAAAGUUACGAUGUUCAAAAGUAAUAGCAAAGGCAAAGAUUAAGACUAUAAAACUCUUGUUUGUGGUUGUAACAGUAUAUAUUGUGUGUUGGACACCUGUAUGCGUUGGUGCCUCUUUGCUUGUUUGGGGCAAAAUUGAGUACGGCACAACAUACAAACUCUUGUUUGUUCUGGCACCAUUGAAUAGUUUGGUGAACCCGUUGGUGUUUUUAUUAUUUAAUCGCAAGAUGUUUAAGGAAAAUGUGAAAACACUUAAGAAAAUAUAUAUCAUUGGUACAUUUACAGCUUCAUUUUACACACAUCUUUCAUCUAAAAGUUCAACGAGACUAUCCGGAAAUUGAGAUACCCUGGACCAAUAUUCAAAAUAUUGUUUGCAACAAAGAUUUGUGUGUGUUAGCUCUAUAAAAAACAUUCACUUAUUGGUAUAAACUAUAGUUUACACAUUGUGUACCUAAAGCAUUAACUGGCUAUACAAUGCAUUUGUUGUAUCGUUAUACAGUAGUUUCGUUAUACAGUACAAAUGUAAACUGGUUUAUAAAAUACAAAUGUCAACUCGUUAUACAGUACAAAUGUUAACUGGCUAUACAUAAUACAAAUGUUAAUUCUCUAUACAGUACAAAUGUUAACUGGUUAUACAUAAUACAAAUGUUAAUUCUCUAUACAGUACAAAUGUUAACUGGCUACACAAUACAAAUGUUAAUUCUCUAUACAGUACAAAUGUUAACUGGCUACACAAUACAAAUGUUAAUUCUCUAUACAGUACAAAUGUUAAAUGGCUAUGCAAUACAAAUGUUAAUUCGCUAUACAGUACAAAUGUUAAAUGGCUAUGCAAUACAAAUGUUAAUUCGCUAUACAGUACAAAUGUUAACUGGCUAUGCAAUACAAAUAUUUAACUGGCAAUUAUGUUUUGAACAAUAUUUUUACUGAUGUCAAUUAAUUGUACUUAUUACUUAUAUUACUUAUUUGCAUAUAGUUUACUCACAUAAGAACAAUUCUAAUUUCGAAUUUAAUGAAAUUUUUGUAUUACUUAUAUGUGAUUUUAUAUGACAUUAUUGGCAAUUUGAAUGAAUUAAUGCACAUGUUAUUACUAUUUAGAUAUGAGAUAUAUAAGCUUUCACUGUCAGUAACUUUUUUUAUCAUGUGUAUUGCAUUAACAAAUUUGUAUCUUAAUGGCAUUUCUGAAAUAAAAUGUUUUCAC
This is a long non-coding RNA of Mytilus californianus (California mussel), 1363 nucleotides long. RefSeq lists it as uncharacterized. The record is from RefSeq and is a predicted model, not a curated record. Lineage: Eukaryota; Metazoa; Mollusca; Bivalvia; Mytilida; Mytilidae. The transcript is spliced from 3 exons.